Microtus ochrogaster (prairie vole) is the source of this 165-nucleotide small nuclear RNA. Its record names the gene U1. It matches the Rfam family "U1 spliceosomal RNA". From Rfam's summary of the family: U1 is a small nuclear RNA (snRNA) component of the spliceosome (involved in pre-mRNA splicing). Lineage: Eukaryota; Metazoa; Chordata; Mammalia; Rodentia; Cricetidae. The record is from Ensembl.
ACACUUACUUGUCAGGGGAGAUUCCAUAACCGUGAAGGCAGUUAUCCCAGGGUAAGGCUUAUCCACUGCACUAUGGAUUUUCUGACCCUUCAAUUUAUGCCUCAACGUGGGAAACUUGACUACCUAAUUUGUAGCAGUGGGGGACUUUGCUCAUGCUAUCCCCGA